UCCGCAAUGGACGAAAGUCUGACGGAGCAACGCCGCGUGAGUGAUGACGGCCUUCGGGUUGUAAAGCUCUGUUAAUCGGGACGAAAGGCCUUCUUGCGAAUAGUUAGAAGGAUUGACGGUACCGGAAUAGAAAGCCACGGCUAACUACGUGCCAGCAGCCGCGGUAAUACGUAGGUGGCAAGCGUUGUCCGGAAUUAUUGGGCGUAAAGCGCGCGCAGGCGGAUAGGUCAGUCUGUCUUAAAAGUUCGGGGCUUAACCCCGUGAUGGGAUGGAAACUGCCAAUCUAGAGUAUCGGAGAGGAAAGUGGAAUUCCUAGUGUAGCGGUGAAAUGCGUAGAUAUUAGGAAGAACACCAGUGGCGAAGGCGACUUUCUGGACGAAAACUGACGCUGAGGCGCGAAAGCCAGGGGAGCGAACGGGAUUAGAUACCCCGGUAGUCCUGGCCGUAAACGAUGGGUACUAGGUGUAGGAUGUAUCGACCCUUCUGUGCCGGAGUUAACGCAAUAAGUACCCGCCUGGGGAGUACGACCGCAAGGUUGAAACUCAAAGGAAUUGACGGGGGCCCGCACAAGCG
RNAcentral lists this ribosomal RNA (573 nucleotides) under Veillonella dispar. RNAcentral's name for it is "bacterial SSU rRNA". It matches the Rfam family "Bacterial small subunit ribosomal RNA", at positions 365 to 931 of the family's 1533-position model. The record is from RNAcentral. Lineage: Bacteria; Bacillati; Bacillota; Negativicutes; Veillonellales; Veillonellaceae.